UGGGGAAUAUUGCACAAUGGAGGGAACUCUGAUGCAGCGACGCCGCAUGAACGAAGAAGGCUUUCGAGUCGUAAAGUUCUUUUAUAUGGGAAGAUAAUGACGGUACCAUAAGAAAAAGCCCCGGCUAACUACGUGCCAGCAGCCGCGGUAAUACGUAGGGGGCUAGCGUUGUCCGGAAUCACUGGGCGUAAAGGGUUCGCAGGCGGAAAUGCAAGUCAGGUGUAAAAGGCAGUAGCUUAACUACUGUAAGCAUUUGAAACUGCAUAUCUUGAGAAGAGUAGAGGUAAGUGGAAUUUUUAGUGUAGCGGUGAAAUGCGUAGAUAUUAAAAAGAAUACCGGUGGCGAAGGCGACUUACUGGGCUCAUUCUGACGCUGAGGAACGAAAGCGUGGGUAGCAAACAGG
RNAcentral lists this ribosomal RNA (403 nucleotides) under bacterium. RNAcentral describes it as "partial 16S ribosomal RNA". It matches the Rfam family "Bacterial small subunit ribosomal RNA", at positions 355 to 776 of the family's 1533-position model. The record is from RNAcentral. RNAcentral also lists the same sequence under 1 other name.